ACUGAAUAGAUACCCCGGUAGUCCACGCCGUAAACGAUGAUCACUCGCUGUUUGCGAUAUACAGCAAAGCGGCUGAGCGAAAGCAUUAAGUGAUCCACCUGGGGAGUACGAUCGCAAGGUUGAAACUCAAAGGAAUUGACGGGGGCCCGCACAAGCGGAGGAAACAUGUGGUUUAAUUCGAUGAUACGCGAGGAACCUUACCUGGGCUUAAAUGUAGGCUGCAUUCGGCUGAAAGGCUGAUUCCCUUCGGGGCUGCUUACAAGGUGCUGCAUGGUUGUCGUCAGCUCGUGCCGUGAGGUGUCGGGUUAAGUCCCAUAACGAGCGCAACCCCGUAUCGUUAGUUGCCAGCGGGUCAAGCCGGGGACUCUAGCGAGACUGCCACCGUAAGGUGAGAGGAAGGUGGGGAUGACGUCAAAUCAGCACGGCCCUUAUGUCCAGGGCUACACACGUGUUACAAUGGCCGGUACAAAGGGCAGCUACUAUGCGAAUAGAUGCUAAUCUCGAAAGCCGGUCCCAGUUCGG
Molecule: ribosomal RNA, 522 nt
Filed under: uncultured bacterium
Lineage: Bacteria
Description: bacterial SSU rRNA
Rfam family: Bacterial small subunit ribosomal RNA
Source: RNAcentral